RNAcentral lists this ribosomal RNA (486 nucleotides) under uncultured bacterium. RNAcentral describes it as "bacterial SSU rRNA". It matches the Rfam family "Bacterial small subunit ribosomal RNA", at positions 8 to 507 of the family's 1533-position model. The record is from RNAcentral.
AGAGUUUGAUCCUGGCUCGAGGACGAACGCUGGCGGCGCGCUUAAUACAUGCAAGUCGAACGAGAAGCCAGAGCUUGCUCUAGGUGGGAAAGUGGCGAACGGGUGAGUAACACGUGAGAAACCUGCCCCAAAGAUUGGGAUAAGCCUUGGAAACGAGGUCUAAUACCAAAUACCUUCUUUUUAACACAUGUUAAAAAGAAGAAAUGCUCCGGCGCUUUGGGAUGGUCUCGCGAUCUAUCAGCUUGUUGGUGAGGUAACGGCUCACCAAGGCAUCGACGGAUAGCUGGUCUGAGAGGAUGUCCAGCCACAUUGGAACUGAGACACGGUCCAAACUCCUACGGGAGGCAGCAGUAGGGAAUCUUGCACAAUGAGGGAAACCUUGAUGCAGCGACGCCGCGUGCGGGACGAAGGCCCUAGGGUUGUAAACCGCUUUCAGUAGGGACGAAAGUGACGGUACCUACAGAAGAAGCCCCGGCCAACUAUGUG